UUGGACGCAAAGCAAGCGGGAGGCUCUUGAGCCAUCUCAGUGAUGUUGAGGACACUGAGGAAGACUAGUCCUAAAUCAGGUGAAAACAAGUUUGUGCAAAGUUUCAGCUUCCCAGCACACAAUGGAGCGGAGUGGGAUGAGGAAAAGGAUGAUUCCAUUUCAAAAGGAGCAAUGCAAUUUCCAAAGGAGCAAUGGCCUAUCCAAAGGAGCAAUGGCCUAUCCGAAGGAGCAAUGGCCUAUCCGAAGGAGCAAUGGCCUAUCCGAAGGAGCAAUGGCCUAUCCGAAGGAGCAAUGGCCUAUCCGAAGGAGCAAUGGCCUAUCCGAAGGAGCAAUGCCCUAUCCGAAGGAGCAAUGGCCUAUCCGAAGGAGCAAUGCCCUAUCCGAAGGAGCAAUGCCCUAUCCGAAGGAGCAAUGCCCUAUCCGAAGGAGCAAUGCCCUAUCCGAAGGAGCAAUGCCCUAUCCAAAGGAGCAAUGGCCUAUCCAAAGGAGCAAUGCCAUGCCAAGUCAAGAAUGAAGCAGCAUGCUGCAAAAGUCGCCAUGUGUGCGGAUCAUGUGCCCAGGAGGGGGCAGUGUGGUUGCCUUUGGUUAUGGGUGCACGACGGAAAGGUUGCAGGUGUGGACAGGUGGGGUGUUGGGGUCUGAUGGUUGGUCUUGCUUAAGAGGUGUGCUGUGGUUAAGGUUGUGGCUUGUCUGGAUCCAGCGUUUCUUGUGCUUGGUUGCCAUUGACGGCUCACUUGGGGGAGGAUGUGGUCACGUGGAUGGACGCAAACUAAACUUUGACGUGGAUCCGAAGGUCCAAUUUUGCCAUGACUUGUAACAUUUUGUCUUUUUCUAACCUGCCACUGUUGUACUUGCUGCGUUCUUUGUUCCCCCCCCUCGUUGUAGGGCGGCGUUGGAGCGAGCCGGUCCCGAAUGUCCAAUUUUCCAAUGUGACUUGUGACAUUUUUGUAUUUUUCUAACCUACCACUGUCGUACUUCAUUUAACCCUAACCUACCACUGUGGUACUAGUGUUCUUUGUUCUCCCCUCGUUGUAGGGCGGCGUUGGAGCGAGCC
Molecule: long non-coding RNA, 1054 nt
Organism: Syngnathus acus (greater pipefish)
Lineage: Eukaryota; Metazoa; Chordata; Actinopteri; Syngnathiformes; Syngnathidae
Exons: 3
Source: RefSeq, a predicted model, not a curated record